Molecule: RNA transcript, 3477 nt
Organism: Musa acuminata AAA Group (dessert banana)
Lineage: Eukaryota; Viridiplantae; Streptophyta; Magnoliopsida; Zingiberales; Musaceae
Gene name: inactive poly [ADP-ribose] polymerase RCD1-like
Exons: 9
Source: RefSeq, a predicted model, not a curated record
CGUGGUUUCCUGUUGGCGCAAGAAAGCGUGGGAGGACCGUCGACGGUCCUACGGUUUGUGUACUUCUCCCUCGCUCUACUCCACAUUCUUCCGGAUCGAGACAGAACGGAAACCGCCUUCCCGAAUCCCGACCACAGAGAUCGAAUGAGAGAGAGGGCGAGAGGCCUUCUUCCUGAGAUGUAUCACCUGAGCCUCUACCUUUACUUGUCGAGGGUAAACAUAUUCACUGACUUCCCUAUCAUAAGUUUUUCUGGCUAUACACCAAUGCAAAGUCGUACAUUAUUGUAAAUUAGUAGGCAGCCUUUGUGAAGAGAAAUACAUCAGAAUGAAUUAGUUGGUGGUUUACAGUUUUUUUUGUGAGUAAAAUGGAACAGAAGAAUGUAAAGGAGUUGGAUAAAGGCGAAAAGUGUGAUCUCAAAAGGAAGAGAGAUUCUGCUGUAUAUGUGACAAAUGAUAGCCAUGGUCUGGUAGCACAUCCACAUACUGCAGUCCAAUCUUCUUUAAAGGUCUACACAGGAAUGAGCUGUAAAACUGGCCUAAUCUGCUAUCCAGGGGACCAUAUUGUCAAGAAUUAUCGCAACUUCAGAAAAAGUGGGUUGCCACACCGUGUGCUGUUUUAUGAGAAUGAUCAAUGGGAAGAUUUUCCGGAAAAUAUUGUCCAUUUGGUUCAGGAUGAUUUUCGGUCAAAGAAAGGAAUUACUGAAGCAGGUUAUCAGAAUCAACAUUUUUUGUUGGACUUCAUUCACAUGGUUUGUGUGAUUUUGCAAACAGGUUUGGUUAAGCCAGUAGCUUGGAUUGAUGACCAUGGCAAAUCCUUCUUUCCAGAAUUACACUCCCACCAGUAUGCAUUAAAUAGAUGCUAUCAUUCCAACAAAGAAAUACGGGCUUACAUGAGUCCUGAACCAAAUGGUACACAUGAAGUCACUGCACAAUUUAAGAUUUCCAACAGUGCAGCUAAAAGUUCAAGUUCUGGAGCUGACAAUGGGUUUAUACCUAAUCUCAAGAGGGUUAAGAGUGAAGAAAAUUCUACCAGUGACCAAAAUACUUAUGCUGAAGUCGACGAAGUAGUUGGAGAAAAUGACCCAGGUUCUGUUUUGCCUCUAAAUAUUCCUGCCUUUGGAGCUUGUCAAGCACCUGCUGGUGGUCAUCAUGUUAAUAGAGCUGUGCAGAAUAUGUUACUUCAUGGUCUAGGCAAGUUCAUCGAUCCAAAAAAUAUAGUUGGAAUCCAUAGGACUCCUUUGAGAAAUGAUGUAGGACUAGUUCGGUAUAACAUUUUCCAAGAGUGGGUUGAAACCACUAAAAAGGCACGUGGCAAUGCAAAUGUCCGCUAUGCAUGGCUUGCUUCAACCAAGGAUGCUGUGGAAGAGAUGAUGAUGCAUGGGGUUCUGAAACCACCUUUUCAUGAACGUCUUUAUGGCAAUGGCAUUCAUCUCACACCCGCAAAUUGCUCCAAUAUCUGUGCUAGAUAUUGUGAUGUUGAUGAAAAUGGUAUCAUAUACCUGAUGUUGUGCCGCAUUAUAAUGGGAAAUGUGGAACUCAUUCACCCUGGAUCAAAUCAGUGUCAGCCUAGUAAUGAAAACUUUGACACUGGUGUAGAUGAUCUUCAUAAGCCAAAGCAUUAUAUUAUUUGGGAUGUGAAUUUGUAUACCUAUAUAUAUGCAGAAUUCACAGUGACUUUUCAAGCAACCUCCAAAGUUGAAGAAUGUUUGCUUGGGAAAGAAAGUACAUGCAAUGUAUCUGCCCUCACAAAUUUUAAUUCACCUCACAGCUUAUUACAGGAGAAGACUUUUCAGCCAAAUCUGGGCUGCACAAAUCAAUCUCAGGUUCCAGUGUCUAGAGCAGCACCAAGAAUUCCAACCUCACCAUUGAUGCCCUUCUCAAUGUUAUUUGCAGCAAUCUCAACUAAGGUGUCUACUGAAGACAUGGACUUGGUUCACACUCAUUAUAAUGACUUCAAGAAGAGAAAAAUAAACCGAAUUGACCUAAUUAAAAAGUUAAGGCAGAUCAUUGGGGACAAAUUGUUGGUUUCGACAAUAAUGAGGCUGCAACACAAGUUACCACCCAUGGCUAGACAUGAGCCACCAGAACCCUCGUCUGGAAGCCUGCGAAACAACUCUUGACACGGUGUAAACAUCUCUUUGGGAUUGGGGGACUGUCUUUUGCUUUCUCUUGCCGAAGUCAUGCCUGAAAACCGCCGUAUGGUCACAUCAGGAUCAAUUUCCUCGCAGUUGCAAACCAACAAACGACUCUCAUCUGCGUGAAUCAAUUCCCUCUACCGGUAGCUGUCGUACUUAAUUCAAGAUUAGCCUGUAGAGGAGGAAAGAAGGUAGUGUACGUGCAUGUAUUCGUGCGACAGGCCCUUGAAAGCCGGGCGGACGAGGACACAGGGGAGGGCGUGGUCGGGUCGCUAUCGCAGGAUCAGAAGCCCGAGCUACCUGUCAUCCCCUGCUCGCCGAUGUGAUGGCACGACUGCCCGCCCACGCCUGCCUGCCCCCUGCAUCUGCCAAUCAUAAAGCAAUCGAGUGCCUUAUCAUUUACUUUGCCCCCACAAAACACACACACACUCUCUCUCUCUCUUCUCUUCUCUUCUCUUCUCUUCUCUCAUCUUUCUUGGUUACUACCCUUCUCUCUCUUCCUCGGUUCUCGUGAUACGCAUAAAAGCUCACAUCGAAGUGUCAUCUUUGCAGGUAGGAGUUACUUAUUGGUGCAGGUGCAGGUGCAGGUGCGACGCACUGAUUAGGGGUGACAGAUCUGAAACAGAGAGCAUGCAUCUUUUCUUGUUAUCGGUUUGUGGUGCUGCUGCAGAGAGGACGUUGUGCAAGAUGACACCGUCUUGAGCUUCCCCUUAAUUCUCGCAUGGCGAGACUCGUACGAACGAGGAUGCAGCGCUGCUACCGCCUCUUGGAACCAAUUAUCGCGCGCGCAAGAGAGAGAGAGAGAGAGAGAGGACGAUGUCCAAGAAGGCACCGUUUUGAGCUUCACCUUAUUACUCUCACAGGAAGUGGGACUGAGAGAGGCAGAGAAUCAGCAUUUUACUGGCGCCUUCUGCAACCAAUCGAUCAGAAUCUACUACAUGUGCGUACGAGACACCGCAGCGGAAGAUUAAUUUCCUUUCUCUUCUGGCUGUCAACUCCCACUAGAUCUAUCGCUAUCUUCCAUCACAGCAGAAGGCUUCCUUUCUCCAAUCAUCAUGGGAGAUAUUUGCUGCGGCUGAAGUAGGAAGGGUUGAUCAACAAGGCCGAGCUAAUCAAGAAAGCAUGCCUGUCACCUCACUCUCUUCCAAAAGUGUCACUAUUUGCAAGAGAAAUAUACUCGUAAAAUAAACCCUGUCUCCCAAUAUAUGCCAGUCUUGUACCUAUCUGCUUCCAAGACAUUACAGGAGAGGGAGAGAGAGAGAGAGAGAGAGAGAGAGAGAGAGAGAGAGAGAGACAAACAAACACACGACAUUACAAAUCAGUGGGUACGCAUUCUUUUUUC